This 74-nucleotide transfer RNA is filed under the name Renouxia sp. RNAcentral's name for it is "tRNA-Trp". It matches the Rfam family "tRNA". From Rfam's summary of the family: Transfer RNA (tRNA) molecules are approximately 80 nucleotides in length. Their secondary structure includes four short double-helical elements and three loops (D, anti-codon, and T loops). Lineage: Eukaryota; Rhodophyta; Florideophyceae; Rhodogorgonales; Rhodogorgonaceae. The record is from RNAcentral.
UAGGAGAAUAGCUUAAAGGUAGAGCUUUGAUUUUCAAAAUCAAUGGUUGAAGGUUCAAAUCCUUCUUCUCCUGA